AAUACUUUGACUAAACUUGCAGAACAAUGUGCAAGAUUGCCUCUUGCUUUAAUCAUUGUAGGGAGCGUACUACGCGAUGGUAUUCUGAGCCCAAGUGAAAUGUUGGACCUCAUGAAGGAAGAGCGGCUGAAAGCUCUCAGUGACGAUAGUUUCUCUGACUCUGAGAUAAUAGAUAAAGUGAUAAGAAAUCACCUUGCCCGACUGACGGAAGUUUUCAGACAGCAC
Long non-coding RNA from Lingula anatina, 225 nucleotides. Lineage: Eukaryota; Metazoa; Brachiopoda; Lingulata; Lingulida; Lingulidae. The record is from RefSeq and is a predicted model, not a curated record.